GUGUAUAUGUGUGUGCGCGUAGAUUGAGAGGGAGAAAGAGGGGCAAAGACCUUCAUCUUAUAAACACAAAAAAAUUCAGCAAUUAGGAAGGAAAUUGGUGAUCAAUCUUAUGCAUGAAGAUCAUCUCUUAACCAUCAAAGUUUGAUAAUCAUAAGGUGUGAAAGAACAAGGAUCAAUCAAAAAGAGGUCACAAAGUUCAAACGAUCGAGAUGAGAAUGGUCGAACUCUUGGCGUGAUAAAACUAGUAGAACUGGUGAAAAGAUGCACACGAGCGGAAGCUCAUUACAUGGAUGGACGAGGUCAAUCUAGUUUUAACACGCGCUCAUAAGGGGCGGGCUGAAUCGGGACACGGAUCAUUGUUUAUGUAAAUAAUAAGGUUAGUAAAAUAUUUGACUUGUGAAUGUUAAACAGAAAGUUAUAGACGGAAUAAUGUUCCAUACGAACAAAUGGUAACACAAGCAUGUCGUGGUUUGGAAGAUUUGACUUUUAGAGGUCAAGAAAAGAACGAAAAUUUUAGUUAAAACUCAACGUCAAUAAUCAAGGCGUAGGCGUGUAUAGUAAGUAAUGCAAAAAAAAUGAACGGCAAUUCAUGGUGACCUGAAUGAAACAAUACGAAACUUAAUUUAGGAAUGUACUUAGUACCAUGUAACGGUAACAAACCUAAAACGAUGUUUAACUCUCGAGACAAGUACGAAUAACUAAGAAGGAAAUAAUGGUUGGGUUGUGAUAACUAUAUCUAUGAUGAAAUGUCUAAGUAAAGUUAGGAUGUGAGAUUGUACGAAAGACUCGACAUAUAUGAAUGAAAUAUGAUAAUAAUGUAAUUAGUAGUAAACUAACUUGAGAAAUGUGCUAUAGAUGAAACUUGUAAGAAUUCGGGUUGAAUGUAUGUUUUGGGAAAGAUUAUGCAUUAGGUGCUUGUACAUUGCGCUUGAAUUGGUGAUACUCGCCAUGUGUUAUAUUAAUUACUUAAUUUGCGAUUAAGAAGUGAAUGUGUGCCAAAAGUAAAACAUAUGAACUUGCUAGUGAAGGAUAAUGUUAUGAUUAUGUUAAAUUGACUAACCUUGUAUGUGGUUAUCAAAUGUAAUAUAAUGAAAGCAUUAGCAUGUGUAAAACUGAUUAUGUGUAUUUGUGUACAAAAUAUUUAUGGUGCAAUUAGCAUAACCGACUACACGAUAUGAACAUAUGUUCCUAAGUUGGAAGUUUGCAUACUUGAUCGUUGACUUUUCAGAAAAGUCAACGAGUAUGAGAAUAGCAUGAUUAGAAAUCCUAAUAUGAUUGUAAUAAUAGAAGGAUUGAAUGAUGUAUGAUGAAUCCGUACAUGUUAUACUUGAUGAUAUGUUAAAUUUGUGUGAAUUUGGGAUGAUGCAUUGUUGAAUUAUGCCUUGUGCUUGUUACAAAUGAUAAGUGAAAGUCAAAUGCGAGAUAUGAACUAGAUAUGAUAGGUGAUAUAUAAAAUCUUGUAUAUGGUGACAUGUAAGGAUAAGCAUCAUAUCAAGAUGACGCUAACAUGAAAGGCAAAUGGGUCAAAAGGAGGCGAGGAAGCAAUAACGAAUACAGACGCUUAAUGUAAGUGAUUAUCGAUCUCACUUCUUAUUUUGUUUAGAUAAAGUAUCUAUAUUUGAGUAGUUGAAAUCAAGUAAGGAUGUAUAAAUAAUGGAAUUUCUAGGAUAUGGAUGGUUGUAAUGGUCGAUGGAUGUCAAUCCGGUGAAACCUCAACAAAGGGGCAAACGAGUUAAAACUUUUAGAAGAAAUAUUUAGCUGAAGAACAUGUGGAUUGGAUUAGGAAAUGUAUGGAAUGAAUUGAGAAAUUGAAUAAUGAUUUAUAUCACGUAAUAGAACCACUGAGACACACGGUUAGUGAGUAGAAAGAACAAAACGCAAAAUCAGUGUCUGAGCUGCAGAGGAGGCGUCGGCGACGCCCAGCCGUGUUGCAGCCGGCACCUUAUCUUACUGUCUACACGGGUCCGACGCAGGAAACCCGUUUUCACGUUUUUCUCAUUUUUCCUCGCUUCCAAGGCCCCACUAAGCUUCCCAAAGGCAUCCUAGGCCUACUAUAGAGUUUUGUGAGGUACAUGUAAGAACGAAAACUUAGGAGGGCAAGUACGAAGAUGUGACAUGUAUGUUGAUAUGUUUUCUUUAUGUACAUGGGUAAGUUUUUAGUAAGUAAAACUUAUUGGGUGUUAGUUGCAUUUUUAGGCACGUUUUUAUUGUAUAUUUAUGUUAAAAUUCACCACAUAUCAUGCAUAUAUCAUAGUCAUACCUCAUUAUUUUGUUAAACACGUGUUUUUGUGGAAUGGAAUCUACUUUGGUUGGUUUUUGGUUGAUACUGUAGGUGCGGAGCGCUUGCUAAGGAAGGCAUAGGAGUCGGAAAGAGUUGGAAGGAUUUUUGAAGGCAAAUGUUUCAAGACGAGAGCUAUUAGUCUUGAAAGAAGCAAGUUGAAGUGAUAAAAUUAGACGGAUGCCGAAAAAGAACGUAAUUGGCCGAAGGUUUAUUCUAAUUUGUUCACAUAAAAAUUGUGAAUAUGAUUAAUUAGAGAUUGAUGAGAAUACCAAGAUAUGGCACGUUAGGCCUUCAAGUUCACUCAUCUUUGUGUAUUUGGAUUAAUUAAGAAAGUGGGCUUCAUAAAUUUAUUAGUGCGGGCUUCGGUGGAAGUUAACUUACAAAAGCUACAUAGAAUGAAAUUGGACAAGUAAACCUAGGCUUGGGGGCCCAGCUGCAAUAACAUCAACAAAAACAACCUGGACGACUUCGAAGACGGCUGCAAUCCAGAGAGAAGCAAGAGUUGGGAUUUUGGGAAGUAUUUUUGGUUUCGUACGUUGUUAGUUCUAUGUUUUGUUUCGUUUUAGUAUUGAUUGUUCUAGCCAUCAUGUCCGGCUAGACUCUUAUAGUUUCGACAUUAGGGUUUAUUUUCUUUGAUUUGGUUCACAAUCUUAUGUGAAACGAUCACGUUUGAUUCGAUUAUUUUAGUGGUUUGUUUGUGU
This 2982-nucleotide long non-coding RNA is filed under the name Helianthus annuus (common sunflower). Its description in RNAcentral is "hypothetical non coding rna". Lineage: Eukaryota; Viridiplantae; Streptophyta; Magnoliopsida; Asterales; Asteraceae. The record is from RNAcentral.